RNAcentral lists this ribosomal RNA (253 nucleotides) under uncultured bacterium. RNAcentral's name for it is "partial 16S ribosomal RNA". It matches the Rfam family "Bacterial small subunit ribosomal RNA", at positions 524 to 776 of the family's 1533-position model. The record is from RNAcentral.
AACGUAGGACGCAAGCGUUAUCCGGAGUUACUGGGCGUAAAGCGUGCGCAGGCGGCUUCGCAAGUCAGGCGUGAAAUCCCCGGGCUUAACCUGGGAAUUGCGCUUGAAACUACGGUGCUGGAGUGCGGCAGAGGAAGGUGGAAUUCCACGUGUAGCGGUGAAAUGCGUAGAGAUGUGGAGGAACACCAAUGGCGAAGGCAGCCUUCUGGGUCGACACUGACGCUCAUGCACGAAAGCGUGGGGAGCAAACAGG